Molecule: ribosomal RNA, 198 nt
Filed under: uncultured bacterium
Lineage: Bacteria
Description: partial 16S ribosomal RNA
Rfam family: Bacterial small subunit ribosomal RNA
Source: RNAcentral
ACUCCUACGGGAGGCAGCAGUGGGGAAUCUUGCGCAAUGGGGCGAAAGCCUGACGCAGCGACGCCGCGUGAGUGAUGAAGGCCUUCGGGUUGUAAAGCUCUGUGGAGGGGGACGGAAUAAGGGUUGGCUAACAUCCAGCUCGAUGACGGUACCCCUUUAGCAAGCACCGGCUAACUCUGUGCCAGCAGCCGCGGUAAU